RNAcentral lists this ribosomal RNA (501 nucleotides) under uncultured bacterium. RNAcentral's name for it is "bacterial SSU rRNA". It matches the Rfam family "Bacterial small subunit ribosomal RNA", at positions 26 to 518 of the family's 1533-position model. The record is from RNAcentral.
CUAGGAUGAACGCUAGCGGCAGGCUUAACACAUGCAAGUCGAGGGGCAUCGGGAGUAGCAAUACUGCCGGCGACCGGCGCAAGGGUGCGUAACGCGUGAGCAACAUGCCCGUAUCAGGGGGAUAAUCCAUGGAAACGUGGUCUAAUACCCCAUAGUAAUUAUGUAAGGCAUCUUAUAUAAUUUAAAGCUUUGGUGGAUACGGAUUGGCUCGCGUGACAUUAGCUGGAUGGUAAGGUAACGGCUUACCAUGGCUACGAUGUCUAGGGGUUCUGAGAGGAAGGUCCCCCCACACUGGAACUGAGACACGGUCCAGACUCCUACGGGAGGCAGCAGUGAGGAAUAUUGGACAAUGGAUGGAAAUCUGAUCCAGCCAUGCCGCGUGCAGGAAAAGACGGCCCUAUGGGUUGUAAACUGCUUUUGUAUGGGAGCAAUAAGGGCUACGUGUAGUCCGAUGAGAGUACCAUACGAAUAAGCACCGGCUAACUCCGUGCCAGCCGCUGC